UACGGAGGGUGCGAGCGUUGUCCGGAAUCACUGGGCGUAAAGGGCGCGUAGGCGGCGCAGGAAGUCAACGGUGAAAGUUCGGGGCUCAACCCUGAAUCGGCCGUCGAUACUCCUGGGCUCGAGCACUGUAGAGGCAGAUGGAAUUCCGGGUGUAGCGGUGGAAUGCGUAGAGAUCCGGAAGAACACCGGUGGCGAAGGCGGUCUGCUGGGCAGUUGCUGACACUGAGGCGCGACAGCGUGGGGAGCAAACAGG
RNAcentral lists this ribosomal RNA (253 nucleotides) under uncultured bacterium. RNAcentral describes it as "partial 16S ribosomal RNA". It matches the Rfam family "Bacterial small subunit ribosomal RNA", at positions 524 to 776 of the family's 1533-position model. The record is from RNAcentral.